AACGAACGCUGGCGGCAUGCCUAACACAUGCAAGUCGAACGAUCCCUUCGGGGAUAGUGGCGCACGGGUGCGUAACGCGUGGGAACCUGCCCUUAGGUUCGGAAUAACUCAGAGAAAUUUGAGCUAAUACCGGAUAAUGUCUUCGGACCAAAGAUUUAUCGCCUUUGGAUGGGCCCGCGUUGGAUUAGCUAGUUGGUGGGGUAAAAGCCUACCAAGGCGACGAUCCAUAGCUGGUCUGAGAGGAUGAUCAGCCACACUGGGACUGAGACACGGCCCAGACUCCUACGGGAGGCAGCAGUGGGGAAUAUUGGACAAUGGGCGAAAGCCUGAUCCAGCAAUGCCGCGUGAGUGAUGAAGGCCUUAGGGUUGUAAAGCUCUUUUACCCGGGAUGAUAAUGACAGUACCGGGAGAAUAAGCCCCGGCUAACUCCGUG
Molecule: ribosomal RNA, 433 nt
Filed under: uncultured bacterium
Lineage: Bacteria
Description: partial 16S ribosomal RNA
Rfam family: Bacterial small subunit ribosomal RNA
Source: RNAcentral